Long non-coding RNA from Carassius carassius (crucian carp), 587 nucleotides. RefSeq lists it as uncharacterized. NCBI's taxonomy places the organism in Eukaryota, Metazoa, Chordata, Actinopteri, Cypriniformes, Cyprinidae. The record is from RefSeq and is a predicted model, not a curated record. The transcript is spliced from 2 exons.
AGAAAGCAAUAUUAUGGUUAGAGGACAGAAGUAAUGUUUUUAAGUUUACGCUUCACAAGAUGUUAAUUGAUGAACUGGAGUGGUGUGGAUUAUUGUGAUAGGAUUCAUUUGUGAGCACGUGAUGUAAUGCUAAAAUUUUCCACAUCUGUUCCAAUGAAGAAACAAACUAAUGAGGGUGAGUGAUUUUUUUUUUUUUAGCUAGUUUUAAUUUUUGGCUGAAGUACUCCCAAGUGUUUGUCUGAUUUAGACCUCUGUUAAUCGAUUCAACUAAUGCAUUCAUAUGAACUGCCUCAUUUGAGCGAAUCUUUCAUGAAUCGGGUAGCACAUUAUGCUUUGUUCAUGGUAGCAUGCAGUUAACAACGCCACAUUAUGUUUUUCUUUCUCAGACAAUUUAAAAGACAAUAUAUAUGCACAUUUUUACCGUGUGGAUGCAGCUUCAGCGAUGUCGCUCUUGAAUAACCCUACAUGAUGCACUGAUGUGUGCAGUGCCAUGCAGCUCUUCUGUGGCUGCAGUAAUUGAAACAUUGUAAGCUUUUAAUCAUAUCGGACUCAUUAAAAACACCAUGUGUAUUAAUGAAUAUAUUAAA